AAUAAUUAACGUUAGGUGAGGCUCCUAUAUAGAUAUAUGCUACUGCCCCGAAACAUCGAGAGAUGCCAAUGGGUUAACAGGUACUACCGAAUCAAGGUUUUACUUAAUGUAGCUGGCAUAAUAUCCAAAGCUAUAUAGUGCUAAAGCUCAAACAUAGUUUUAUAGCU
This 167-nucleotide small RNA is filed under the name Clostridium argentinense. RNAcentral describes it as "Magnesium sequence". It matches the Rfam family "M-box riboswitch aptamer (ykoK leader)". Rfam says of the family: M-box riboswitch, also know as ykoK leader is described as a metaloregulatory RNA that sense divalent metals and function as a genetic control element of genes related to divalent metal transport in bacteria. It was first reported upstream of the B.subtilis ykoK gene and genes with related functions in other bacteria. RNAcentral also lists the same sequence under 1 other name. Lineage: Bacteria; Bacillati; Bacillota; Clostridia; Eubacteriales; Clostridiaceae. The record is from RNAcentral.